AGAUUGAACGCUAGCGGGAUGCUUUACACAUGCAAGUCGAACGGCAGCGCGGACUUCGGUCUGGCGGCGAGUGGCGAACGGGUGAGUAAUAUAUCGGAACGUGCCCAGUAGCGGGGGGAUAACUACGCGAAAGCGUGGCUAAUACCGCAUACGCCCUACGGGGGAAAGGGGGGGAUUCUUUCGAGAACCUCUCACUAUUGGAGCGGCCGAUAUCAGAUUAGCUAGUUGGUGAGGUAAAGGCUCACCAAGGCGACGAUCUGUAGCUGGUUUGAGAGGACGACCAGCCACACUGGGACUGAGACACGGCCCAGACUCCUACGGGAGGCAGCAGUGGGGAAUUUGGACAAUGGGCGAAAGCCUGAUCCAGCCAUGCCGCGUGCAGGAUGAAGGCCUUCGGGUUGUAAACGUGUCUUUUGUACGGAACGAAAGUCUCUUUCUAAUAAGAGGAUCAUGACGUACGUAAGAAUAAGCACCGGACUAACUACGUGACCAGUACGCCGCGGUAA
RNAcentral lists this ribosomal RNA (506 nucleotides) under uncultured soil bacterium. RNAcentral's name for it is "bacterial SSU rRNA". It matches the Rfam family "Bacterial small subunit ribosomal RNA", at positions 26 to 523 of the family's 1533-position model. The record is from RNAcentral.